CAAACCCCAACCUCCAGGAAGAGAGGCUAGAGCUUGAACUCCAACACCAACCAUCAAUGACUUAACCAAUCAUUGUCCCCAAAGAGCCCUCUCCGAGGAGAAGUGAGCUGCCAUGUUGGGAUUAGCCCUAUAGGGGCCCAUGUGACAAGGAUUGACAUUUCUAGCAAAUAGCCAGUGAGGACACCAGUGCUUCUAACAGCCAUACAGCCGUGUAAAGACAGACAAAGCAAAAAAGCCAUGUGAAGAUGGAGACAGAGACUGGACUUAUACUGCCACAAGCCAAGGAACACCAAGGUUCAACAGUCACCCUCAGAAGCUAGGAAGAGUCAAGGAAGUAUUCUCCCCCAAAAAAACUGUAGAUGGAACAUGACACUGCCAACAUUUUGAUUCUGGACAUCUAGCCUUCUGGACUGAGAGAAUAAAUUUCCAUUGUUUGAAGCCACUUGCUUUGUUACUUUGUUAUUGAGUCCCUAUGAACUGAUACAAUAUCUAUAAAUGAAUGGUCUUCCUUAUUCACCACCACUUCACUAGGUCUGAAAACGCUGGAGUCAACCAUGUCAUUCUUCAGUACCAACACAGCUCCAUAUUCAUAAAAAUGGUUAGGAAA
Molecule: non-coding RNA, 607 nt
Organism: Odocoileus virginianus texanus
Lineage: Eukaryota; Metazoa; Chordata; Mammalia; Artiodactyla; Cervidae
Source: RefSeq, a predicted model, not a curated record